RNAcentral lists this ribosomal RNA (1812 nucleotides) under Escherichia coli. Its description in RNAcentral is "partial 23S ribosomal RNA". It matches the Rfam family "Bacterial large subunit ribosomal RNA", at positions 1 to 1834 of the family's 2925-position model. Lineage: Bacteria; Pseudomonadati; Pseudomonadota; Gammaproteobacteria; Enterobacterales; Enterobacteriaceae. The record is from RNAcentral.
UUGUGAGGUUAAGCGACUAAGCGUACACGGUGGAUGCCCUGGCAGUCAGAGGCGAUGAAGGACGUGCUAAUCUGCGAUAAGCGUCGGUGAGGUGAUAUGAACCGUUAUAACCGGCGAUUUCCGAAUGGGGAAACCCAGUGUGUUUCGACACACUAUCAUUAACUGAAUCCAUAGGUUAAUGAGGCGAACCGGGGGAACUGAAACAUCUAAGUACCCCGAGGAAAAGAAAUCAACCGAGAUUCCCCCAGUAGCGGCGAGCGAACGGGGAGGAGCCCAGAGCCUGAAUCAGUGUGUGUGUUAGUGGAAGCGUCUGGAAAGGCGUGCGAUACAGGGUGACAGCCCCGUACACAAAAAUGCACAUAUUGUGAGCUCGAUGAGUAGGGCGGGACACGUGGUAUCCUGUCUGAAUAUGGGGGGACCAUCCUCCAAGGCUAAAUACUCCUGACUGACCGAUAGUGAACCAGUACCGUGAGGGAAAGGCGAAAAGAACCCCGGCGAGGGGAGUGAAAAAGAACCUGAAACCGUGUACGUACAAGCAGUGGGAGCCUCUUAAUGGGGUGACUGCGUACCUUUUGUAUAAUGGGUCAGCGACUUAUAUUCUGUAGCAAGGUUAACCGAAUAGGGGAGCCGAAGGGAAACCGAGUCUUAACUGGGCGUUAAGUUGCAGGGUAUAGACCCGAAACCCGGUGAUCUAGCCAUGGGCAGGUUGAAGGUUGGGUAACACUAACUGGAGGACCGAACCGACUAAUGUUGAAAAAUUAGCGGAUGACUUGUGGCUGGGGGUGAAAGGCCAAUCAAACCGGGAGAUAGCUGGUUCUCCCCGAAAGCUAUUUAGGUAGCGCCUCGUGAAUUCAUCUCCGGGGGUAGAGCACUGUUUCGGCAAGGGGGUCAUCCCGACUUACCAACCCGAUGCAAACUGCGAAUACCGGAGAAUGUUAUCACGGGAGACACACGGCGGGUGCUAACGUCCGUCGUGAAGAGGGAAACAACCCAGACCGCCAGCUAAGGUCCCAAAGUCAUGGUUAAGUGGGAAACGAUGUGGGAAGGCCCAGACAGCCAGGAUGUUGGCUUAGAAGCAGCCAUCAUUUAAAGAAAGCGUAAUAGCUCACUGGUCGAGUCGGCCUGCGCGGAAGAUGUAACGGGGCUAAACCAUGCACCGAAGCUGCGGCAGCGACACUAUGUGUUGUUGGGUAGGGGAGCGUUCUGUAAGCCUGUGAAGGUGGCCUGUGAGGGUUGCUGGAGGUAUCAGAAGUGCGAAUGCUGACAUAAGUAACGAUAAAGCGGGUGAAAAGCCCGCUCGCCGGAAGACCAAGGGUUCCUGUCCAACGUUAAUCGGGGCAGGGUGAGUCGACCCCUAAGGCGAGGCCGAAAGGCGUAGUCGAUGGGAAACAGGUUAAUAUUCCUGUACUUGGUGUUACUGCGAAGGGGGGACGGAGAAGGCUAUGUUGGCCGGGCGACGGUUGUCCCGGUUUAAGCGUGUAGGCUGGUUUUCCAGGCAAAUCCGGAAAACCAAGGCUGAGGCGUGAUGACGAGGCACUACGGUGCUGAAGCGACAAAUGCCCUGCUUCCAGGAAAAGCCUCUAAGCAUCAGGUAACAUCAAAUCGUACCCCAAACCGACACAGGUGGUCAGGUAGAGAAUACCAAGGCGCUUGAGAGAACUCGGGUGAAGGAACUAGGCAAAAUGGUGCCGUAACUUCGGGAGAAGGCACGCUGAUAUGUAGGUGAAGCGACUUGCUCGUGGAGCUGAAAUCAGUCGAAGAUACCAGCUGGCUGCAACUGUUUAUUAAAAACACAGCACUGUGCAAACACGA